CAGAGGUCUCAAGCGUUGUUCGGAUUCAUUGGGCGUAAAGGGUGCGUAGGCGGUGAGGUAAGUUGGAUGUGAAAUCCCGGGGCUUAACCCCGGAACUGCAUUCAAUACUGCCUUGCUAGAGUACUGGAGAGGAGAUUGGAAUUCACGGUGUAGCAGUGAAAUGCGUAGAUAUCGUGAGGAAGACCAGUGGCGAAGGCGAAUCUCUGGACAGUAACUGACGCUGAGGCACGAAGGCUAGGGGAGCAAACGGGAUUAGAUACCCCGGUAGUCCUAGCAGUAAACGGUGCACGUUUAGUAUGGGAGGAUUCGACCCCUUCCGUGCUGGAGCUAACGCGUUAAACGUGCCGCCUGGGGAGUACGGUCGCAAGAUUA
Molecule: ribosomal RNA, 372 nt
Filed under: uncultured organism
Description: bacterial SSU rRNA
Rfam family: Bacterial small subunit ribosomal RNA
Source: RNAcentral